UACGUAGGUGGCGAGCGUUAUCCGGAAUCAUUGGGCGUAAAGAGGGAGCAGGCGGCCGCAAGGGUCUGUGGUGAAAGACCGAAGCUAAACUUCGGUAAGCCAUGGAAACCGGGCGGCUAGAGUGCGGAAGAGGAUCGUGGAAUUCCAUGUGUAGCGGUGAAAUGCGUAGAUAUAUGGAGGAACACCAGUGGCGAAGGCGACGGUCUGGGGCGCAACUGACGCUCAUUCCCGAAAGCGUGGGGAGCAAAUAGG
This 252-nucleotide ribosomal RNA is filed under the name Catenibacterium mitsuokai DSM 15897. RNAcentral's name for it is "partial 16S ribosomal RNA". It matches the Rfam family "Bacterial small subunit ribosomal RNA", at positions 524 to 776 of the family's 1533-position model. Lineage: Bacteria; Bacillati; Bacillota; Erysipelotrichia; Erysipelotrichales; Coprobacillaceae. The record is from RNAcentral.